Molecule: transfer RNA, 70 nt
Filed under: Camelus dromedarius (Arabian camel)
Lineage: Eukaryota; Metazoa; Chordata; Mammalia; Artiodactyla; Camelidae
Also listed under: 1 other name
Rfam family: tRNA
About the family: Transfer RNA (tRNA) molecules are approximately 80 nucleotides in length. Their secondary structure includes four short double-helical elements and three loops (D, anti-codon, and T loops).
Source: Rfam by way of RNAcentral
GGGUAUGGCUCAGUGGUAGAGUGCGUGCUUAGCAUGCACAAGGCCCUGGGUUCAAUCCCCAGUGCCUCCA